RNAcentral lists this transfer RNA (76 nucleotides) under Clostridiaceae bacterium. Its description in RNAcentral is "tRNA-Pro". It matches the Rfam family "tRNA". Rfam says of the family: Transfer RNA (tRNA) molecules are approximately 80 nucleotides in length. Their secondary structure includes four short double-helical elements and three loops (D, anti-codon, and T loops). Lineage: Bacteria; Bacillati; Bacillota; Clostridia; Eubacteriales; Clostridiaceae. The record is from RNAcentral.
CGGGGUGUAGCGCAGUUGGUAGCGCGCUUGGUUUGGGACCAAGAUGCCGCAGGUUCAAGUCCUGUCACUCCGACCA